GACGUAGGAUGCAAGCGUUGUCCGGAUUUAUUGGGCGUAAAGAGUUCGUAGGCGGUUCGUUAAGUCUGAUGUUAAAGAUCGGGGCUCAACCCCGGGAGUGCAUUGGAUACUGGCGGACUGGAGUGCGGUAGAGGUUAGUGGAAUUCCUGGUGUAGCGGUGAAAUGCGUAGAUAUCAGGAGGAACACCGGUGGUGUAAACGGCUUUCUGGACCAUAACUGACGCUGAGGCACGAAAGCGUGGGUAGCAAACAGG
This 253-nucleotide ribosomal RNA is filed under the name uncultured prokaryote. RNAcentral's name for it is "partial 16S ribosomal RNA". It matches the Rfam family "Bacterial small subunit ribosomal RNA", at positions 524 to 776 of the family's 1533-position model. The record is from RNAcentral.